RNAcentral lists this ribosomal RNA (447 nucleotides) under uncultured bacterium. RNAcentral describes it as "bacterial SSU rRNA". It matches the Rfam family "Bacterial small subunit ribosomal RNA", at positions 355 to 825 of the family's 1533-position model. The record is from RNAcentral.
UCGGGAAUUUUGGGCAAUGGGCGAAAGCCUGACCCAGCAACGCCGCGUGAAGGAUGAAGUAUUUCGGUAUGUAAACUUCGAAAGAAUAGGAAGAAUAAAUGACGGUACUAUUUAUAAGGUCCGGCUAACUACGUGCCAGCAGCCGCGGUAAUACGUAGGGACCAAGCGUUGUUCGGAUUUACUGGGCGUAAAGGGCGCGUAGGCGGCAAUUCAAGUCAUCUGUGAAAUCUCCGGGCUUAACUCGGAACGGUCAGAUGAUACUGCUUUGCUAGAGUGCAGAAGGGGCAAUCGGAAUUCUUGGUGUAGCGGUGAAAUGCGUAGAUAUCGGGAGGAACACCUGUGGCGAAGGCGGCCACCUGGUUGGAUACUGACGCUGAGACGCGAAAGCGUGGGGAGCAAACAGGAUUAGAUACCCACGUAGUCCCUGAGCGGGCUGGCAAGGCGCAU